Molecule: long non-coding RNA, 320 nt
Organism: Triticum dicoccoides
Lineage: Eukaryota; Viridiplantae; Streptophyta; Magnoliopsida; Poales; Poaceae
Exons: 3
Source: RefSeq, a predicted model, not a curated record
UGCAGCUCGGAGGUGCUCCGGCUCCAUCUGCAUCUCAGCGACCCAGCAGCUCGGAGGAGCUGCGCCUCCAUCUGCAUCUCAGGCGGCCUAGCAGCUCCCGCUGCAGCUCGGAGCUGUGGAAUCGGCAUAUGGCGCCACCCUUGCUUGUAUCCGCGACCCACUGUCCAGGCUCAAUCAGUUGAGAAUUCCUAGAAGGUCUGGACUCAACCAAAUGAAGCUCCUCUGCAGGCCCAGGAGGUCCAGACACAAUCAAAUCAGGCUUUGCUGCAGAUGACUCAGAUCAAAUCAUACUUCAGUAUGCUCACAGUAAUCACAUAAAG